UGCGUUGUAGCUAAGUGGUAAAGCUUUGGUUUUUGAUAUCAACAUGCAAAGGUUCGAAUCCUUUCAAUGCAA
RNAcentral lists this transfer RNA (72 nucleotides) under Capsaspora owczarzaki. RNAcentral describes it as "tRNA-Gln". It matches the Rfam family "tRNA". From Rfam's summary of the family: Transfer RNA (tRNA) molecules are approximately 80 nucleotides in length. Their secondary structure includes four short double-helical elements and three loops (D, anti-codon, and T loops). Lineage: Eukaryota; Filasterea; Ministeriida; Capsasporidae. The record is from RNAcentral.